GGAUGUGAGGGCGAUCUGGCUGUGACAUCUGUCACCCCAUUGAUUGCCAGGGUUGUUGAUUCGGCUGAUCUGGCUGGCUAGGCAGGUGUCCCCUUCCUCCCUCACAGCUCCAUGUGUGUUCCUCCCGAAGCUGCGCACUCGGUCGAAGAGGACAACCUUCCCCGAAUAGAGGAGGACCGGUCUUCAGUCAAGGGUAUACAAGUAGCUGCAAUCCCCUGCUAGAACCUCUAAAUAAGCUCUCAAGAAUAUAGUCUAGGGGCUGGAGAGAUGGUUUAGCAGUUAAGACGUUUGCCUGCAAAGCCAAAAGAUCCUGAUU
RNAcentral lists this small nuclear RNA (316 nucleotides) under Jaculus jaculus (lesser Egyptian jerboa). Its description in RNAcentral is "7SK RNA (ENSJJAG00000007790.1)". It matches the Rfam family "7SK RNA". From Rfam's summary of the family: 7SK was discovered as an abundant small nuclear RNA in the mid-70s but a possible function has only recently been suggested. The record is from RNAcentral. Lineage: Eukaryota; Metazoa; Chordata; Mammalia; Rodentia; Dipodidae.